Long non-coding RNA from Hemicordylus capensis (graceful crag lizard), 2766 nucleotides. RefSeq lists it as uncharacterized. Lineage: Eukaryota; Metazoa; Chordata; Lepidosauria; Squamata; Cordylidae. The transcript has 3 exons. The record is from RefSeq and is a predicted model, not a curated record.
UCUCUCCCUCCAGCUGGGCCUGAGUCACCCACUCCUGCAUCAAGUGGCCCACCAUCCAGAGGGCCUACGGGAGGCUCUGCGUUGCCAGGCCGUUUCAGGGCCUUUUUGGGGGGUGCGAGGUGUGUUCACUUGGUUGGUGCUGAUGGAGACCUUUUUGAGUUUUGUGGAGCUUCCAUGGAGCUCUUGAGCGGUGCAGGCACAAUCUCCAGACCUAGGCUAACCUCCUACAGUUGUGGGGUUUGGGGGCGAUUGUGCUUUCUGGUGCGCUUGCUCUCUCUCAGCAGGGAACCUGAAGGCCCUUCCCCAGUGUCAGUACCUCUCCCCGCCACAAACAGCUCCAGCGAGGACCUAGAGGUCCAUGGCAGGCUGAGCGUGGUAGUGUGCACCAGCACUCAGUGGUGGUGGGGCCUACCGGUAGCCUGAAAGGCGGAGGUAUUCUUCCUUUUUGGUAAAAAAAACAUGUCGAAUGUUGCUUCAUGAGCGCUUCAUCGAAGAGCGGGGGAGGAGAGGGAGGAAAGAGGAAAAGAAAGCUAACUAAAGCUGCUUUUAAUAACAAGAGUGACAGAAGGCAAUUAAAACAGGAUAAUAGAGGAAGAAGACUCAAAGUAUGGUUAAAAGGUACACAAAAAGACAAGAAGGAACAAAGCAAUGGAGCUAAAGAUUGGCAAUAGGCAAGGGAGACCUUCUCUGGAACCGGUGCAGGACAAACUGAACUAGGAGGAGCUAUCCUUCCAGGCCUCUCAAAGUUUUUCCUUAAUUGAUUUGUCCUGCCCUCUGGAGCAUGUGGGAAGAAUAACCUACAUGAGAUGUCCUCAUCCAGUAGCAGAGAAGAAAAACCUUACUUAAGACUUAGGGACAGAAGGAUCUGUGUGCUCUUAAUGGGAAUUAGUAUGGAGAGGUGAUGAUGAUUAGAAUUUCAGUGUGCUUGCUGCUUCCUCAGGAUUGUGUGUGCCACUUCUGCUGGCAAUAUUUGGGUGAAACAGGAGAAUUCCUUAGUCCAUGGACAUUUGGUGCUGUAGUUCUUGCGUAUACCAAGCGGCCAGUUUUGAAGCGGAUUGGAGAGGAUGCUAAGGAGCGAUCGUGUCCACUACCCUGUCACUCAAGAGAUCCUCCACAAAAUCAAGGAGAAUUGAUGAAUUUGGGUCAUGGUGAUGGUGCAAAGAUCAUGUUCCUAAAGAUGUUGCAAUGGAAAAGAAGAAUCUUCUAAAAAUGUCCUAUGAAGUUUAAAGAGCUUUAUCGUACCUGGAAAACAGCUGAGUGAACUCAGUGCUCUGCUACUGCAAAGCCAACUCUCGUCUAACCUUUUAAAAAAAGUUGUGUGAAUUGCAGGCUAGCCACCAAGAGCCAUUACCAGAGGGUAGGUAUAGCUGCAGUACAUCAGAUCAAGGUUUGUAGUAGUUUUGCACUAAAAGACGACUCUGGUCUGAACACUUUUAUUUUAAUUGUGUGGAACAUCAACCAUCUUUAUAUGACCUUAACAGUUUUCCUUUCUUGAAGCGAAACAAAAUAAUGAAGACCAUAUGCAUUUCUAUUUAAAUUCCAAACAUUUUAUGUUGGCGUGUUUAGUGCAUAACAAUUUUGCAAGGCCAGCCUAAUGUCAGAUUUUUUAUUUCUUGUUGACAGAGAAGUUGCUGGGCCUCAUCCUAGCACUUAUUUACAGCAAUAAUAAGUCUUACAAUGAAACCACAACUAUGUCAAUAAAGACCAAGUCUGUUAUUUUUAAUGUAAAGUAUUAUUACCUUGUCCCAAUAUAUAUUUGUGCACUGAAGAUAUGACAAAAUAUUUGAGGCAACACUUUCAUUACCAUAUCUGUUUCUAAAGUCUAUAGAAGUAACUGGAGUGCAUUCAUUUGUUUUAAUGAAAUCCACUGAGAUUUCAAAGUAGAAUUCUGAUCCUCGAAGCACUAUGGUUACAAUAGCAGUACUAGAUCAAGGAAUGGUUGUUAUUUUUUUCAUAUGUCCAAGAUUUAAAUUUUUACAUUCUCAACAUUAAUAGUUCCAAUAUAAUUUUGAAUUACUAUACUUUUAUUAAUCUCUGCUCUUUUAAAAAAAUGUAGGAGUAUAUAGGUACUGAUGGGCAGCAUUUUCCAUCUCAAUAUUAAUACCAGUUUUCUCAGCCUGUAACAAGGGCCUUAUAGUCCAUCUUGUGCAAAUAUAAAGAUUAAAUUCUCAUAUUCAUUUUAGGUAAGAACACCAGAUAUUUUUUAUCAUCGUGCAAGUGAUCCUCACCAUCCCUGAGUAGCUGCUGACAUCAGAAAUACAAUGUAUGAGCCUGAAAAUGAAAGAUAUUAGCCAUGGCAGCUUCUAUAACCUUGGAUAUAUAUUUCAUGAUCUUUGAGAAACAUGUUACUGCUCUCAAGAACCACAAUCUCCUGGAUCACAUAUUGCAUUUCUUCAUAUGAGCAUGUGCUUUGGGAUGGGUGGCAAUUCUUGCAUGAAUAUAUGUGUGUAUACAAACACACAUAACCGAUUCAAAAUAGUUAACAACUUCCUAUGAUGCUUACAACACGAUGAGAACAAUGAUAAUAAUUUAGUAUUUAACUCAGUAUGGGAAUUAUAGAAAGUUAAGCUGAUCAAAGAGUUAAGUUAAAGAUCUUGAUGUAGAGUCUAUUCCUGUAUGCUAUGUGUUCUGAAAACACCUUAAAUGAACCACAUGAGCAGAUCUUAGCCUUUAUUUAAUGUGUUCUGGAGUAGAAAUCAUUUUGACAUUAAUAACAAAGACCGUACCUAGUUGAUCAUGAGGUGUGCCUUUAAAUAUAACUCUGUA